RNAcentral lists this long non-coding RNA (236 nucleotides) under Lathyrus oleraceus (garden pea). RNAcentral describes it as "Pisum sativum (pea) long non-coding RNA (PSAT_LNC008157)". The record is from RNAcentral. Lineage: Eukaryota; Viridiplantae; Streptophyta; Magnoliopsida; Fabales; Fabaceae.
AAAAUUCCAUUUAUCAUUUAACCACAUACUUGAUUGAUUUAUUUUUAAAGUUUAACACAAUAUGUAUAGGUCCUAAUAAACUCAAUUUACACAUUCCCAGUUAUUAAAUUAAUCUAACAUCUAACCGGACCGAAUCACAACACUUAUCCAUUUGUAUUAUACUUUUGCAUGCUACAGUAACUUACAUAAAUACCGACUAAAAAACAUGUUUAAUUAUGAAAUUAUUUUUAAAUGAA